RNAcentral lists this ribosomal RNA (522 nucleotides) under Entiminae sp. GZ81. RNAcentral describes it as "partial 12S ribosomal RNA". Lineage: Eukaryota; Metazoa; Arthropoda; Insecta; Coleoptera; Curculionidae. The record is from RNAcentral.
GCGGUUAUACAGGUAAUGCUACAAUAAAUGUUUGGUUUUAAUUAAUGAUAAUAAUUGAAUUUAAAUUUUAUUUUAUUAGGUGAAAUUUUAAAUUAAUAUUAAAUUUUAUUUUUGUUUAUGAGGUUAGUAAAUUUAAAAUUUAAACUAGGAUUAGAUACCCUAUUAUUUUAAAUUAAUUUUUUUUGCCUGGUUAGUAGUAGUUAUGUUCUUGAAAAUUAAAGAAGAUGGCGGUAUUUUAGUCUAUUCAGAGGAACCUGUCCUAUAAUCGAUGAUCCACGAUUUAUUUUACUUAUUUUUUAAGUUUGCAUAUCGCCGUAGGUUGAAUAUUCUUAAAGGAGUUUUAACAUUCAAGAGGUUUUUUUUAUAAAAGUAAAUCAGGUCAAGAUGUAGCUGAUAAAUAAGAAGAGAUGGGUUACAAUAAAAUUAUUUAUAACGGAUUAAUAUAUGAAAUUUAUUAUGAAGGAGGAUUUGAGGGUAAUUUUAUAAAAAUUUAUAAGAUGAUUAUAGCUCUAAAAUAUGUAC